RNAcentral lists this transfer RNA (85 nucleotides) under Caldifarciminota bacterium. RNAcentral describes it as "tRNA-Leu". It matches the Rfam family "tRNA". Rfam says of the family: Transfer RNA (tRNA) molecules are approximately 80 nucleotides in length. Their secondary structure includes four short double-helical elements and three loops (D, anti-codon, and T loops). Further hydrogen bonds mediate the characteristic L-shaped molecular structure. tRNAs have two regions of fundamental functional importance: the anti-codon, which is responsible for specific mRNA codon recognition, and the 3' end, to which the tRNAs corresponding amino acid is attached (by aminoacyl-tRNA synthetases). tRNAs cope with the degeneracy of the genetic code in two manners: having more than one tRNA (with a specific anti-codon) for a particular amino acid; and 'wobble' base-pairing, i.e. permitting non-standard base-pairing at the 3rd anti-codon position. RNAcentral also lists the same sequence under 1 other name. Lineage: Bacteria; Pseudomonadati; Caldifarciminota. The record is from RNAcentral.
GCGAGGGUGGCGGAAUUGGCAUACGCGCUGGAUUUAGGAUCCAGUCCGCCGAAAGCGGGUGCGGGUUCAAGUCCCGCCCCUCGCA